UAAUACGUAGGGGGCAAGCGUUGUCCGGAAUUAUUGGGCGUAAAGCGCGCGCAGGCGGUCCUUUAAGUCUGAUGUGAAAGCCCACGGCUUAACCGUGGAGGGUCAUUGGAAACUGGAGGACUUGAGUACAGAAGAGGAGAGUGGAAUUCCACGUGUAGCGGUGAAAUGCGUAGAGAUGUGGAGGAACACCAGUGGCGAAGGCGACUCUCUGGUCUGUAACUGACGCUGAGGUGCGAAAGCGUGGGUAGCGAACAGG
This 256-nucleotide ribosomal RNA is filed under the name uncultured prokaryote. Its description in RNAcentral is "partial 16S ribosomal RNA". It matches the Rfam family "Bacterial small subunit ribosomal RNA", at positions 521 to 776 of the family's 1533-position model. The record is from RNAcentral.